UUGGCUUUAACGUCGCAGGAGUCAAUUAACUGGAUGGUGACAGUUUUUUCCUGCUUUUGUGCUCACACACUUAUUCACGCGGACGCUCUGAAGUCAAUGUAGGUGCUGAUUAGGGGUACCAGAAGGGUCUGUCAUCUGCAGACAGUAACACAGAGAAAUUUAACCUGUUUUUAGAAUUACAGUCCAACUGUUUAAUGCAGUAGUUGUCUUUUGUCCAAAGAGGACUUAUGUUAAAACUGUGAGAUAAAAUGCACUAAAAGAGGUUUGUUUUUUAAGUAUAUUUAUUGGAGGACUCAGCAGAAAUCAGUUUUUUUAGGAGGACACAUCAUUUACAUUCAAAUUCCUCAGUAAAAUAUGCACACAACAUGCACCCCUUCAGAUUUAACACUUGUCAUUCAAAAUGGCUUAACACAGGACAACUGAGUCUGCAGAUUAACUGUGUGUGGCUAACAUUAGCAGAGCUAGCACCACCUCUCAGGUUUACGUCUACAUGCAACUAGUAAAGGUGUCAUAUACCCACAGUACAGACAUUCAAAAACCGGCCGUCCUACCACUGUGACUAUGGCUCAUGCUUGGUUUUGAUUGAUAGCAUAAUAUUAUUAUUAUUGCAACCUUAUUAUUUUGUCAAGGUUGGGGCUAGUUAUGUGGUUAAGUAAAUUCCCUCAGUCAAAUUGCACCUCAAGCAAUAAAUUCAAUGAGCCGUGUCACACUGUGAUUUUAUGGCCUGACUAAACAGAGACAGAAAGCUACACCCAACUUGAAUGUUAAUAACUCUGAGGUGGUAAACACCCUGAUUCUCUAAAUCUCUAAAAGAAGCACAUUAAAGGCACAAUGAGGAGUUUUUAAAUCAGCUGAGACACACUGAAGUUAAUACUGAUGCCUCUUCAUCAGUAAAAAGGCUGACUGACUGUUUUAUGUUACUUUUAAUGAGGGUCGGCGUCAGACCAGAUAACUGACAGCACACUGAAGCAUUACUUUUCUCCAUGACUAUGAUACACAGUGAGUGAAAACAACAACAAGAACAAAAAAAACUUGUGCAGGAGGAGAGGUAACUGCUUUCACUUUGUCGACAUGGGAGCCAAAAUUGACACAAACCCAAGUAUCCUCACAGCUGCUUUAAAAAAGACCAAAAAGGAAAACCGGAGUUUCACAUGUACCCGAACAAAGAUGGCCCACCUCACUCGAACACGUGUGCUCCUCCUCCUGAGUGAGUCCCUGCAUGUCUAAACUAGAAAAGUCAACAAACUCAAAUCAUUGAUUCUGUGUCAGAGAUCAGGGGGUUUCCUGUUUUAAAGCACCAACACGCCGCUGCUGCUGCUGCUGCUGCUGCUGCUGCUGCUGCCUGCGCCUCCAGAGAGAAUCACACUAAUUCCUUGUGCUCUCGUUUCUUAGUGAACAACGGUAGAAAAGGGAAAAUUAGGUUUUUGCUUUCUGCUGUAGCUUUAGGCCUUCACAUUAGUCAACCAAAUAAUUAACUCAGAGCUCCACAGUGUGCUGGAGCAUUGUGGGGUAUCCAUCCUAUAAUUGAAAUUCACUCAUAGAGGCUGCGUUUACUGCAAAUCAAUGUUUCACUUCUGACCAACAUUUUCAUUUUCUGCUGUUCACAUAUUGUACUUCAGGUCCAUGAAUGAUCAAAACCAAUGUGCUGCUUUGGGGAUUUGUAGUCAGCAUUCGUGUUUUCUUUUCUUUUUUGCCUACGUCUUCAAAUCGAGUUCAAACAUGGGGAUUCCCAUACAUCAAACAAGACAAAUGUACACAAAAAUAUUAUUUUUCCCCAUUAUAUGAGAUAUUUAAAAGAAACACAUGCUGUUUUUGACAUUUAUGGCUAAAAGCUCAACAAGGGAAUUAGACAGGGAAUAUGUUUCAGGAUUCAGUCAUGAAAUCCACCAGUAGUGAAAAGGUUUACUGAGCACACCAUCGGCUGUUUGAUAAAAGGGACAAACUCCAUCAGAGGAGAGGAACACACACACACACACACACACACACACACACACACACACACACACACACACACACACACACACACAAACAAAAUCUGUCCUCAAAAGACACACAGCGCUGGUCUUAGUUCUGCUGCUCUUUUCAGUUGUGGUAUGUACUUCGGGGGAUCAGCUUUAGAGUAAGCACUUCUGUAAAAUGUCCAUUAAGUAGUAAAAUAAAUAUUUGAAAAUGCCACCAAGUGACUCUUGAAGCCACAAACCAAUCAAGGUGUUAUGAAAUUAAAUGUCAAAUCCAAAUUGAAAAGUAGAAGCAAGUCGCGCUCAUUAUCUCGGCAGUUUAAGUCUCGCAUAAAUUAGUGUGUAACUUGAGAUGUCAGAUAACAUUUUGCAAACUUUCACAGAGUUAGUAUAAAUCAACUUUGGUUGGUCGCUGUCGGUAUUACCAUGAUUUUCAUGUCAAUCAAUCAAUCAAUCAAUCAAUCAAUCAAUCAAUCAAUCAAUCAAUCAAUCAAUCAAUUUUUAUCUACAUAGCACCUGAUCACAACAGUCUUUUUCCUCAGACACUCUCCAGAAGAGCAGGUCCAGACCACACUCAUUGUUCAAAGCAGGUUUGGGUCGGACUGUGGGAAGGAGAAUCUUCCCUCUAUUGAGCAGAAACAACAACAACAACAAUAAUAAUGUCGACUUUCUGUAAUGCACAUGUGAGAGGGAUAAAACAGCUUUACUAUGAACGUCUCAGCAGUAAACACUUGUAACAGAAUCAACCAGAAUUGACUUUGUGGUACUUUUAUUUUUUUGCUUUUAUUGUGUGAUGUGAUUUUCACGAGCAUAUUUCAUUUUUCUCUUUUUUUUAACUAACUGAGAAAAUUAUCGUUGAAAUCCGAGAGAAGGUUUUGAAAAACACUGAGAGGAACUAUUCUGAUAAUUCAGCAAAAAUAAAUAAAAACAGGGCUUUAUUUAGUUUGUGUCAAUUUCAGCGCCCCCUGGACAAACACUGUUUGCUAUCUGGUCCUUCACACACAUAGACAAAAAUGGCUUCAAAUAAAUAAAAACUUUGCAAAUAUUUGUGAAGUUUCUUGUAAAUAAAAAUGAUGUCAAACAGUCGAUCUGUUCUGCUCUAUUGGCACUAUUUGACCUUUCCCAGAGUUGGCAGGUUGAGCGUUCCUUUAAAUAAGUCUAAUCAGAGAAUUUUUAAUAAGGAGAAAAAAGGGCAAAAAAAAGUAUCAUGUAUGAACAGCAUUUUAUUUUGAAGGUCUUUGCUGGAGCUCUUCCUCUGCUCUGUUCAUAUCCUGUAUCUGAGAUGGUUUUCAGAUCUGCAGCUUCAGUUUGCUCUUUGACUCUGAGUGGGCUGCUGACUUCACUGACUGAUAAAACUCUCGUCUUACACGUGAACAAGCUUCCAAUUAAACUAAUGGUAUUAGCACUGCAGCAGCAGCAGACAGGACGUAAUGUCAGAGUCAUCUGUUUUAAUCCUCUGCAACUCCUUUUAUUUACACUUUCAUAUUACUUUGACAUCAGAGAUUACGGGGCGGGACAAACACAGAUUUCUCUCUGUGGCUGCCAAGCAGAGUUUUGACACCGUUCAGAGCAAACAAAGAAACAGUAAUGAGAGUGAGCGAGUGCAGCCAGAGUAGGUAGGUACUUCAACAGCUGAUCUGUGAGGGGAACACUCAUAGCAUCUACACGAGAAAACAACAAGUCACACCGACAGGUAACACUUUUGUUCUUCAUUUCUCCUCUGUGGUGUGAGUUUUUUUCAGCUUUGUAUUCACUUCACCAGCGGUCGGGCUUCUUUAUAGUUCAAUCUGAAGCUUUAUAAUAUAAGUAUAAUCUAGGAAGGAAGGAAUAAAGGAAGUAAAUGCAUAAUCGCCGCCUUUUGUGUCUUCACAGUUGGAGGAAACUCAUUUAAGACCCGUAUAAAAGAAAGAACAACCAGGUUGGAACUCUCUCUUGCAUAUUAUUCAUAAGCUCUUUAACGUGGUCAAGAAAUGGCUGAUGUAUAAGCCCAAUAUAUCAUGUUGUUGAACACAGCAAUUUCCUUUUAAUAACAAAUGAAUGAACAUGUUAUUAUAACCGGCUUAAAACAAAGUCUCAAGAGACUUCUGGAUGUCUGUCCAGUUAUCUGUAAUAACCCAAAAAUACAUGAAACGUCUCAUAGGAUUCCAAUAUUUGAUACAAACUCUACAUGAAUAUAGAUAUUUAAGAUGAAUCUAAGAAAACUGAUCUAUCAUCUUACUGUGAAGCUGUGUCCUCUAAGUCAUGGUUUCAGAUCACACUGGUGCAGAAGAACUGAACAGGCAGUUAACGAAGGCACUUAUUACAAACAGCAGAUAAUUAUUGAAUGUUGUACUGCCCUGGUCAUUAAAACAUCAGAAUGCUUUGUUAUAUUUUACAUCCUUCCUUGUUGCUGCUGUCAGUCAUUUAAUGGGGUCACCAACACGUUCAGAGCUGGACACAGAGGCAACAGUCCAACACACACUUGGAAAAGCACUUUCUGUAAUUGGUUAAAUUGGGCGAUACUCCAUAUGUUUCCUGAAUGGGACAUAUUGCUCUGCUAGUUAAUAUGAACUGCAGCCCGAUGGCAGAAUUCAGCAAAGACAGACUUGAGGUUUUAUACCUGCUGGUUUUUGUGUUUUGUUUAGUGCACUCCAAAUGAAGACAGAGUUUAUAAAGAGCUGCUGUAACAGGCUGUAGAAACCCAUUUGUUAGGUCUAUUUUCAGUCAGCCAAACAAACUGAGCUUGUUCUGCAGAUAAAUUUUUCAUCAGGCCGUCGCUAAUCUAAUUCUGUGCAGCACGAGUACUUCUCCGUCCUGAUUCUUGUACUUUUAUAAAAAAAAAUCAUUUUUUGAAAAUUGUUAUGAAUGAAUGUACUUAUAUUUUAACAGACAAUCUCAGUCAGCAUUACUAUCAUCCAAAAUACGUCCCAUUUGAAAUCGUCCUCAUAACAAUAAGCAGCCGAGCACUAGUUGAUACUUUUAAUGCAAAACAGCAGCAGAUAUUAACCAGAUAUCAGAUGUUUGUCAGCGUAAAUCUGCAGAGGAGAGAACAGAAAACACCAAACUGAUGGGAUUAUAAUGAGCUUCAAUCCAGUGUCACUCACUUGUGUUGUUUCCUCUUAUACUUGCAGAGCAAUUAUUUCACUACACUUCCUGUUGCAACAAACGAGGUUAACGUGGGAGUGAAAAAAACAGAGUAAAAACGGCUGAACACACGAUGGUGUUAGGGCGAUAUAUCAGUCUGACUCAAUUUUAACGCUUUACCUGGAGGCCAGAGCUCACAUACGAGAGGACCAUCUCCACUUCUGGAGUCUAUUGGGGAAAGAAUUUAGUGACUUGACUCGUCAAUAAUGAAAUUGGAAGAUUAUGCAGCAGCAGAAAAGCUAAAAACAUGCAGGUUUCAUCUCUUCAAACAAAAGGAUUUGUGCUGUUUAAGAAAACAUGACAGUGAUUGGAUGUAAAAACAAUCAUCGAUAGUUUCAGGGAUAUAAAGGAUCUUAAUUCCAAGCAUUGCUGUGAAGUACGUUGACAUAUUGAGGGUAACAGUGGUGAAGACACCUGAAUUCCACAUAUAAUAGCUGCGGUCCCCUAACAUUUCCAUGUUGUGUUUCAGUCUCCUGAAAGCACUUAUUUUCAUUUAACCUCGCAGACAUAAUUAUUUCCACUGUUUCCAUCUUCAAGUGGACAACUGCAGGUGUUUUGUUUUUUUACAGCAGAGAGAAUGAGGCUGGCAAUUAGCGCUUGAUGCUGAAGAAAAGCUGCGAGUAUUAUCUCCUGCCAAGUGUAAAAUUAGUGCGAUUAUCAGCAAUAUAACCGCAGAAAUAUGGUGGGACGUGGAUAAUUUAAAGAGUGAAAGCCAAAUGGGAGUUUUUCAAUCAGUCUAUCUGCACAUCCAGCAUUGAGCCGGGGAGGCGAGAAUUCACAACAUGUCAGUGAAGUUAAUUACCUCUGCGAAUGCCUCCCAGCAGAGUCUGGAAUAAUAGCAUCAGGGGAGGGAGAGACUUUUUCUCUGUAUUGGUUUUACACUACAGCUGAAUCUUUUCUUAACCCCUAUUCCACUUUAAUUAGACAUUUGCCCAAGAGACUUACUUCUUCUGAAAAACAUCUGUGUUCUUGUUAUCCCUGGAGCAAAUGUUUCUUAUUCUGUCAUUGAUUACCACACGUGUUCAUCCAGAAUUGAUGACCUUAUUAAGAGCGGUGCUUUAACUCUGUCCAAAAGAAUUAAGAGGCACAAAUAUGACAACUGAACCCAGAACUCUGUAUUUGCACCUGUCGGCGUUUUAAAAACCUUUCUGUUGGUGUUUUUCCUCUUUAAAUAUUAUCAUGUGGCUCAUUUGUCAUAACAGAGGUUUUUUUUUUUUACCAUUCAUCAAAUGUACGGUAUAUUGAUAAACUAUAGAAAUAUAUAAAGAUGUAUAUGAUUGAAACAUUUGCUGUUUUAAAUGCAGUUUGAUUUGGCUUUGGUCUUUUUUUCUGUGUAAAUGAAUUUUUAUGAAACGUCUUAAAAACUUCAGUAUAUGUGUCUGUGGAAGAUCUUCGACCAAUAUAUCAAUAACUUGUUUUUUAUUGUUUAAUAAGAUUCAUGUUUCCCGUAGGUUGAUCUUCACCCCAAAUCC
Molecule: non-coding RNA, 6553 nt
Organism: Xyrichtys novacula (pearly razorfish)
Lineage: Eukaryota; Metazoa; Chordata; Actinopteri; Labriformes; Labridae
Source: the annotation of a GenBank genome assembly